RNAcentral lists this ribosomal RNA (361 nucleotides) under uncultured bacterium. RNAcentral's name for it is "bacterial SSU rRNA". It matches the Rfam family "Bacterial small subunit ribosomal RNA", at positions 29 to 381 of the family's 1533-position model. The record is from RNAcentral.
AAUGAACGCUGGCGGCGCGCCUAAUACAUGCAAGUCGAGCGAGAAGACGUAGCAAUACGUUUGUAAAGCGGCGAACGGGUGAGGAAUACAUGGGUAACCUACCCUCGAGUGGGGAAGUAACUAGCCGAAGGUUAGCUAAUACCGCGUACGCUUCUUGGACUUCGGUUCAGGGAGGAAAGCGAUGCCGAGGGUAUCGCGCUCUUGGAUGGGCUCAUGUCCUAUCAGCUUGUUGGGAGGUAACGGCUCACCAAGGCUUCGACGGGUAGCUGGUCUGAGAGGACGAUCAGCCACACUGGCACUGCGACACGGGCCAGACUCCUACGGGAGGCAGCAGUAAGGAAUAUUGCGCAAUGGGCGAAAG